UGCAAGUCGACGGUAACAGGAAUUAGCUUGCUAAUUUGCUGACGAGUGGCGCACGGGUGCGUAACGCGUAUACAAUCUACCUUUUGCUGAGGGAUAGCCCAGAGAAAUUUGGAUUAAUACCUCAUGGUAUUAUUGAUAGGCAUCUAUUAAUAAUUAAAGGUUACGGCAAAAGAUGAGUAUGCGUCCCAUUAGCUAGUUGGCGAGGUAACGGCUCACCAAGGCAACGAUGGGUAGGGGUCCUGAGAGGGAGAUCCCCCACACUGGUACUGAGACACGGACCAGACUCCUACGGGAGGCAGCAGUGAGGAAUAUUGGACAAUGGGCGAGAGCCUGAUCCAGCCAUGCCGCGUGCAGGAAGACUGCCCUAUGGGUUGUAAACUGCUUUUAUACAGGAAGAAUAAGCCUUACGUGUAAGGUGAUGACGGUACUGUAAGAAUAAGGACCGGCUAACUCCGUGCCAGCAGCCGCGGUAAUACGGAGGGUCCGAGCGUUAUCCGGAAUUAUUGGGUUUAAAGGGUCCGUAGGCGGAUGAUUAAGUCAGGGGUGAAAGUUUGCAGCUCAACUGUAAAAUUGCCUUUGAUACUGGUUAUCUUGA
Molecule: ribosomal RNA, 595 nt
Filed under: uncultured bacterium
Lineage: Bacteria
Description: bacterial SSU rRNA
Rfam family: Bacterial small subunit ribosomal RNA
Source: RNAcentral